AUCCUCGUUCCUGCAGGGCGGAUCUGGAGCCACGAGGAGCGGCGGGCGCCGCUGGUGACGGCCCAUUAUUACUUUUGGUACGCGCUGUGACACUUCAAACUCGUACCGUGAGUAAUAAUGCGCUGUGGCCAG
Taeniopygia guttata (zebra finch) is the source of this 132-nucleotide non-coding RNA. RefSeq annotates it as microRNA mir-126. Lineage: Eukaryota; Metazoa; Chordata; Aves; Passeriformes; Estrildidae. The record is from RefSeq and is marked provisional.